This is a long non-coding RNA of Crotalus tigris (Tiger rattlesnake), 746 nucleotides long. RefSeq lists it as uncharacterized. The transcript is spliced from 3 exons. NCBI's taxonomy places the organism in Eukaryota, Metazoa, Chordata, Lepidosauria, Squamata, Viperidae. The record is from RefSeq and is a predicted model, not a curated record.
AGAAAGAGAGAAGGGGAGGCAGAUUUCCUUCUGCUUUCUGGAAGCGAGUGAAGAGGUCCGACAGCAAGCUAAAGAAGGAGAAGAAACGAUGAUGCAGUAUCUUUUUGGCAUCUUCUCUGCCCUUUACAACAACAUCAGAUGUAGCCUGAGGCAAUUCCUGUACCUGAAGUAUGCAGAUGACUUUCUUUCUUAAAGAACCUGGAUGGUGGGUGAUGCUGGGAUGACUGCAUUCGUUCCCCCCUCCUGCUGUUCACUGGAAAUGUAAACAGUACAAACCUCCAUUCCCAUCCAGGCAUGCCAGCUUAAAUUGUGCUGCAUCACCAUUUCCUUUGGAAUGGAAAUGACAAUAAAUUCUGUCUGCAUAUUUUUAACAGGAAAAAAAUAGCUUUUUUUUUUUUAGUACAGAUACAAUCUGAUUUUUCUAAUUUUCUAAUUGUGUUUUUAAAAGUUGAAACCUAAAUAAUAUUAAUUACAACAGAAGCCACAAGAAAAAGCUUGCUUUUGAAGAAGUUAUGUUCUUUGUAAUGGAAUUUUAUUUUCUUAAAGAUAAGUGUAAUCUCUUCUUUCCAAUUUAGGUUUUAAAACAUGGACACAGUUUCAAGGAACCAGGAACGAAUUAUGGGGGUCUGUACAGAUAAUCCUCACUUAACAACAAUUUGUGUAGUGACUGAUUGAAAUUACAACAACACUGAAAAAAGUGACUUAUGAUCAUUUUUCAUACUUAUGACUGUUGCAGCAUCCUUAUG